Molecule: non-coding RNA, 485 nt
Organism: Dermacentor andersoni
Lineage: Eukaryota; Metazoa; Arthropoda; Arachnida; Ixodida; Ixodidae
Source: RefSeq, a predicted model, not a curated record
UGGUGUGCCGCUGGUUAAGAUUCGGAGGGGAAAACUACUUGCGGAGCUUGAUCGCGUCUCGACGAAAAUAUUCAGGUGCAGCGCUGCAGCACGUCGCCUCCAUGUAGGAUGUAGUGUCUGUUUGUGUAGGUGUGCACUGGAGCUGCUGCUGACUUUCACUGCCGGUGAACAAAUGCCAUUGUCGACGCAGGUGCCGAUUACCGCGAAAGUAAUUGACGGGAUCUGCUGGGCGUAUGGGAGUGCUCACAGUUCCUGGAUCCUACCAAUCCAUGUUUAUAUCACUACUUCUUGCAUGAAUUAAUAAAGCAUUUUAUUCAUCUUACAGAACAUUGUAUUGCCCCAGAAGAGUGUGCAGCAACGGCGAAAAUCUUACUGAGACCUUUGCACUUUGCCAUGGGACCUGCACGUUCUGCUAUGGGACUUAUUCUGCUAUUAAAGCAGUACAUUUUGUAUAGGAAGAUUAUAAAUUAAAUUUCUACUGCGUG